GCAGUGGUGGUUCAGUGAUAGAAUUCUCACCUUCCGUGUGGGAGACCCAGGUUUGAUUCCUGGCCAGUACG
Molecule: transfer RNA, 71 nt
Filed under: Loxodonta africana (African savanna elephant)
Lineage: Eukaryota; Metazoa; Chordata; Mammalia; Proboscidea; Elephantidae
Rfam family: tRNA
About the family: Transfer RNA (tRNA) molecules are approximately 80 nucleotides in length. Their secondary structure includes four short double-helical elements and three loops (D, anti-codon, and T loops). Further hydrogen bonds mediate the characteristic L-shaped molecular structure. tRNAs have two regions of fundamental functional importance: the anti-codon, which is responsible for specific mRNA codon recognition, and the 3' end, to which the tRNAs corresponding amino acid is attached (by aminoacyl-tRNA synthetases). tRNAs cope with the degeneracy of the genetic code in two manners: having more than one tRNA (with a specific anti-codon) for a particular amino acid; and 'wobble' base-pairing, i.e. permitting non-standard base-pairing at the 3rd anti-codon position.
Source: Rfam by way of RNAcentral